This 1342-nucleotide ribosomal RNA is filed under the name uncultured bacterium. RNAcentral describes it as "bacterial SSU rRNA". It matches the Rfam family "Bacterial small subunit ribosomal RNA", at positions 39 to 1378 of the family's 1533-position model. The record is from RNAcentral.
GCGGCGCACAUAAGACAUGCAAGUCGAACGGACUUAACUCAUUCUUUACGAUUGAGAGCGGUUAGUGGCGGACUGGUGAGUAACACGUAAGCAACCUGCCUAUCAGAGGGGAAUAACAGUGAGAAAUCAUUGCUAAUACCGUAUAUGCUCACAGUAUCACAUGAUACAGUGAGGAAAGGAGCAAUCCGCUGAUAGAUGGGCUUGCGCCUGAUUAGCUAGUUGGUGGGGUAACGGCCUACCAAGGCGACGAUCAGUAGCCGGACUGAGAGGUUGAACGGCCACAUUGGGACUGAGAUACGGCCCAGACUCCUACGGGAGGCAGCAGUCGGGAAUAUUGCGCAAUGGAGGAAACUCUGACGCAGUGACGCCGCGUAUAGGAAGAAGGUUUUCGGAUUGUAAACUAUUGUCAUUAGGGAAGAUAAAAGACUGUACCUAAAGAAGAAGCACCGGCUAACUAUGUGCCCGCAGCCCCGGUAAUACAUUGGGUGGCAGCGGUUAUCCGGAUUUAUUGGGUGUAAAGGGUGCGUAGACGGGAGAAACAAGUUAGUUGUGAAAUCCCUUCGGGCUUAAACUGAGGGACUGCAACUAAAAACUACUUCCCUUGAGGGUCGGAGAGGAAAAGGGAAUUCCCUGGGUAGGCGGGGAAAAUGGCGUAGAUAUUAGGAGGAACACCAGUGGGCGAAGGCGAACUUUCUGGACGAUAACUGACGUUGAGGCACGAAAGUGUGGGGGAGCAAACAGGGAUUAGAUACCCUGGUAGUCCACACUGUAAACGAUGGAUACUAGGUGUAGGAGGUAUUAAGCAUUCUGUGCCGCCGCUAACGCAUUAAGUAUCCCACCUGGGGAGUACGACCGCAAGGUUGAAACUCAAAGGAAUUGACGGGGGCCCGCACAAGCAGUGGAGUAUGUGGUUUAAUUCGAAGCAACGCGAAGAACCUUACCAGGGCUUGACAUAUACAGGAAUAACUAAGAGAUUAGUUAGCUCUUCGGAGUCUGUAUACAGGUGGUGCAUGGUUGUCGUCAGCUCGUGUCGUGAGAUGUUGGGUUAAGUCCCGCAACGAGCGCAACCCCUGUACUUAGUUGCCAGCAUUCAGUUGGGCACUCUAGGUAGACUGCCGUAGAUAAUACGGAGGAAGGUGGGGAUGACGUCAAAUCAUCAUGCCUCUUACGUCUUGGGCUACACACGUGCUACAAUGGACGGUACAAAGAGAAGCGACCUGGUAACAGUGAGCAAAACUCAAAAAGCCGUUCUCAAUUCGGACUGUGGGCUGCAACCCGCCCACACGAAGACGGAGUUGCUAGUAAUCCUAGAUCAGCACGCCAGGGUGAAUGCGUUCCCGGG